AGUGAACGCUGGCGGUAGGCCUAACACAUGCAAGUCGAACGGCAGCACAGUAAGAGCUUGCUCUUACGGGUGGCGAGUGGCGGACGGGUGAGGAAUACAUCGGAAUCUACUUUUUCGUGGGGGGUAACGUAGGGAAACUUACGCUAAUACCGCAUACGACCUACGGGUGAAAGCAGGGGAUCUUCGGACCUUGCGCGAUUGAAUGAGCCGAUGUCGGAUUAGCUAGUUGGCGGGGUAAAGGCCCACCAAGGCGACGAUCCGUAGCUGGUCUGAGAGGAUGAUCAGCCACACUGGAACUGAGACACGGUCCAGACUCCUACGGGAGGCAGCAGUGGGGAAUAUUGGACAAUGGGCGCAAGCCUGAUCCAGCCAUACCGCGUGGGUGAAGAAGGCCUUCGGGUUGUAAAGCCCCUUUGUUGGGAAAGAAAAGCAGCAGGUUAAUACCCCGCUGUUCUGACGGUACCCAAAGAAUAAGCACCGGCUAACUUCGUG
Molecule: ribosomal RNA, 492 nt
Filed under: uncultured bacterium
Lineage: Bacteria
Description: partial 16S ribosomal RNA
Rfam family: Bacterial small subunit ribosomal RNA
Source: RNAcentral